CCUACGGGAUGCAGCAGUGGGGAAUAUUGCACAAUGGGCGCAAGCCUGAUGCAGCCAUGCCGCGUGUAUGAAGGAGGCCUUCGGGUUGUAAAGUACUCUCAGCGGGGAGGAAGGUGUUGUGGUUAAUAACCGCAGCAAUUGACGUUACCCGCAGAAGAAGCACCGGCUAACUCCGUGCCAGCAGCCGCGGUAAUACGGAGGGUGCGAGCGUUAAUCGGAAUUACUGGGCGUAAAGCGCAUGCAGGCGGCCUGUUAAGUCAGAUGUGAAAGCCCGGGGCUUAACCUCGGAAUUGCAUUUGAAACUGGCAGGCUAGAGUCUUGUAGAGGGGGGUAGAAUUUCAGGUGUAGCGGUGAAAUGCGUAGAGAUCUGAAGGAAUACCAGUGGCGAAGGCGGCCCCCUGGACAAAGACUGACGCUCAGAUGCGAAAGCGUGGGGAGCAAACAGGAUUAGAUACCCGCGUAGUC
This 465-nucleotide ribosomal RNA is filed under the name uncultured bacterium. RNAcentral describes it as "bacterial SSU rRNA". It matches the Rfam family "Bacterial small subunit ribosomal RNA", at positions 338 to 795 of the family's 1533-position model. The record is from RNAcentral.